Molecule: long non-coding RNA, 421 nt
Organism: Ruditapes philippinarum (Manila clam)
Lineage: Eukaryota; Metazoa; Mollusca; Bivalvia; Venerida; Veneridae
Exons: 2
Source: RefSeq, a predicted model, not a curated record
AAGAAGUAAGACGAACCAGAAAAGAAUUAGCGUAUUAUUGUGAUGGCUGGAUUCAUAUGUGGGGAUGUAUGACUUGGAAGUACUACUGGAGAACCGUUUACUAUAAUGAAACAAUUUGCAGCCCUGGAUGGACACACAAUGGGGAUCAAGACUGUUCUAUAAGAAUCUGAUUUCGUCAAAUUCGCAGGAUAUAUACAAUUUUAGUAUUUACUUUUAUGAAGACAUACAAAAUUAUUCCAAAUUCUAAAUUGAUGUGUUCAAGGAGGCCUGCUUUGGCUUAUUUCAAGACAAAUAAUUAUGUCUGUUGUAUAGUGCAUUUUUUUUAGAAAUGAAAAAUGUUGUUGUUUCGUUGUGUUUCAAAUUUUAGAAGGAAAAAAAAACAUUUGCCUCUGCUUAAAACCACUUCAUCAGUUAAGUUGUA